AGGUUUCCGUAGGUGAACCUGCGGAAGGAUCAUUAUUGAAAUAAAUCUGAUCAGUUGUUGCUGGCUCUCUAGGGAGUAUUGUGCACACUUGUCAUCUUUAUAAUAUAUCACCUGUGCACAUUGUGUAGACCUUGUGGAUAUCUUUCUGAUGCUUAGCAUUCAGUCAAGGGGAUUGACUUUGUUGUCUUUCCUUACAUUUCCAGGUCUAUGUUUAUUCAUAUACACAUGUAUGUUUAGAAUGUAAUUCAAUGGGCUGUCAUGCCUAUAGUCAUAUACAACUUUCAGCAACGGAUCUCUUGGCUCUCGCAUCGAUGAAGAACGCAGCGAAAUGCGAUAAGUAAUGUGAAUUGCAGAAUUCAGUGAAUCAUCGAAUUUUUGAACGCACCUUGCGCUCCUUGGUAUUCCGAGGAGCAUGCCUGUUUGAGUGUCAUUAAUAUAUCAAGCUCACAUGUUGAGUGUUGGAUGUGAGGGUUGCUGGACUCCUUUGGAGUUCAGCUCCUUUGAAAUAUAUUAGCAGAACAUAUUUGUGGAUCUUGCUCAUUGAUGUGAUACAUUUAUCUACAUCAUUGAUGUGAAACAAGUUCAGCUUCUAAUGGUCUUUAUGACAAUUUUCAUUAAUGUGACCUCAAAUCAGGUAGGACUACCCGCUGAACUUA
RNAcentral lists this ribosomal RNA (656 nucleotides) under Cystinarius subgemmeus. Its description in RNAcentral is "eukaryotic LSU rRNA". The stretch from base 277 to 430 matches the Rfam family "5.8S ribosomal RNA". Lineage: Eukaryota; Fungi; Basidiomycota; Agaricomycetes; Agaricales; Cortinariaceae. The record is from RNAcentral.